Molecule: long non-coding RNA, 843 nt
Organism: Oncorhynchus tshawytscha (Chinook salmon)
Lineage: Eukaryota; Metazoa; Chordata; Actinopteri; Salmoniformes; Salmonidae
Source: Ensembl
GUUGUAAUUCCAUUGACUUGAGAUUGUAUGUCUCCUCCUUCGUCUUUCAGGUUGAAGGUCUGCCAGCCUUGAUCCUGUGUUCUGGGGUGGUGGUAGCUUCGGGGAACGAACCUUUUAGACCAGGGAACUAUGACUUCCUGAGACCGACCCAGCCUGCUGCUGCUCUGUCCUUUAACUCAGACUCUAUAGAACCAACCAGGCUAAAGCCUCUAACAGAAAAUAAAACAUCGUUAUCCAGCGGGCGGCGGUCCAGGAACUUCAGUCUGUCAUCAGAGAGAUACUUUGUGAACCAGAUCAACAAGUCUGUGAACGAUAGCUCCUAUGGCCAGCCGGUCCGCCUCCCAGAGAACAUGGAGACAGAGCUAAACCAGAGAAAGACCCGGGGCUCUAUAGAUAUGGAGACAGAGACGUAUCAGCUUGUAGAGGACAACGGGAAGACCUCCAUCGUACCGCAGGAUGAUGACAUUGAGAAGUCCUUCAGGGUCAACCAGGAUGGCAGCAUGACCGUCGAGAUGAAGGUCCGUCUGACCAUUAAGGAGGAGGAGAUGAUCCAUUGGACGACCACGUUGAGCCGCUCCAGCGUGGUGACCAAUCAUAAACUAGGAGCCAAGUCGGUAUCCACCCCACAGUCCCCCGACAACAACGUGGAGGCGAAAGACCCUAACAUUGGUCUCAGUGAGGAUGAGACCAAGGAGAGUAACCACCCCAGCCGCAAUGCAGAGAGGGACGUGGCCUUCAGCGGGACGGACGGAGGAGGGACGGACAGUGGCGGUGGAGGCAGGGCUGGUUCUCUGAAGGCCCACCCCCGUCAGAAGCGGAUGCCAACCCCUGGGCUGAGACAGG